RNAcentral lists this unclassified non-coding RNA (400 nucleotides) under soil metagenome. RNAcentral's name for it is "partial contains 5.8S ribosomal RNA, internal transcribed spacer 2, and large subunit ribosomal RNA". The stretch from base 1 to 122 matches the Rfam family "5.8S ribosomal RNA", at positions 35 to 154 of the family's 154-position model. The record is from RNAcentral.
GAUGAAGAACGUAGCGAAAUGCGAUACUUGGUGUGAAUUGCAGAAUUCCGUGAACCAUCGAGUCUUUGAACGCAAGUUGCGCCUCAAGCCAUUAGGUUGAGGGCACGUCUGCCUGGGCGUCACAUAUCGUUGCCUGAUGCCAGUUUCCUCGUGAUGGGUGACUGUGCAGGGCGAAUGAUGGCUUCCCGUGAGCAUUGUUGCCUCAUGGUUGGUUGAAAAUUGAGUCCUUGGUAGGGAGCGCCGUGAUAGAUGGUGGUUGAGUGACGAACGAGACCCAAUCAUGUGAGACCCCUACCGAAUUUGGCCUUCAUGACCCACAUGCGUCUUUGGAACGCUCAUGACGAGACCUCAGGUCAGGCGGGGCUACCCGCUGAGUUUAAGCAUAUCAAUAAGCGGAGGA